GAGCAAUGAUGUGUUGAAUUUCUUCACCUGAAUCCUCUAUGUGGAUCAAAACCGAGCUUUUUAAUCCUGAGCAAC
Engraulis encrasicolus (European anchovy) is the source of this 75-nucleotide small nucleolar RNA. The record is from RefSeq and is a predicted model, not a curated record. NCBI's taxonomy places the organism in Eukaryota, Metazoa, Chordata, Actinopteri, Clupeiformes, Engraulidae.